Molecule: ribosomal RNA, 232 nt
Filed under: uncultured bacterium
Lineage: Bacteria
Description: partial 16S ribosomal RNA
Rfam family: Bacterial small subunit ribosomal RNA
Source: RNAcentral
GGUUUAAUUCGAUGCAACGCGAAGAACCUUACCUAGGCUUGAAAUGCAAGUUGUACCUGCCCGAAAAGGCGGGGAACCGCAAGGAAAACUUGUAACAGGGUGCUAGCAUGGCUGUCGUCAGCUCGUGCCGUGAGGUGUUGGGUUAAGUCCCCGCAACGAGCGCAACCCCGUGCUACUAGUUGCCACCAGGUAAUGCUGAGCACUCUAGUAGGACUGCCUACGCAAGUAGUGA